GAUGAACGCUGGCGGCGUGCUUAACACAUGCAAGUCGAACGAAGCACUUUAUUUUAUUUCCUUCGGGACUGAUUAUUUUGUGACUGAGUGGCGGACGGGUUAGUAACGCGUGGGUAACCUGCCUUGUACAGGGGGAUAACAGUUGGAAACGGCUGCUAAUACCGCAUAAGCGCACGGCAUCGCAUGAUGCAGUGUGAAAAACUCCGGGGGUAUAAGAUGGACCCGCGUUGGAUUAGCUAGUUGGUGAGGUAACGGCCCACCAAGGCGACGAUCCAUAGCCGAGAGGGGGGGGGGACCGGCUACGAUGGGGAUGCGACACGGCCCAAAACCGGACGGAAGGGAGCAGAGGGGAAUAUUGCAGAAUGGGCGAAAGUGUGACGCAGCGGCGCGGGGUGAGCGAAGAAGUAUGUCGGUAUGUAAAGCUCGAUCAGCAGGGAAGAUAAUGACGGUACCUGAAGAAGAAGCACCGGCUAAAUACGUG
Molecule: ribosomal RNA, 481 nt
Filed under: uncultured bacterium
Lineage: Bacteria
Description: partial 16S ribosomal RNA
Rfam family: Bacterial small subunit ribosomal RNA
Source: RNAcentral